CUUGUCGCCACCAGACGAGGCCAAGUGAGAGAAGCGCCAAAUGGUGCUUGUUCGUCUCGCGCUCCUACUGCUCUGUGAUUGGCUGGCAUAGAGCUCGGGUCAAAGUGGGAUUUAUCUGUUCUGCGACAACUUCAACACGGAGUAGACUACGCCAAGUGAUAGCACAGGAGAGUGGAUUAAGAUGAAUCGACCCUCGGGAACUUCCAGUCGUAUUCUGGUGGACAUACCUUGUAAGGUCUGUCAAGAUCACUCGUCAGGAAAACACUACGGAAUCUAUGCUUGUGAUGGCUGUGCCGGGUUCUUUAAG
This is a long non-coding RNA of Haliotis rufescens (red abalone), 307 nucleotides long. RefSeq lists it as uncharacterized. The transcript is spliced from 3 exons. The record is from RefSeq and is a predicted model, not a curated record. Lineage: Eukaryota; Metazoa; Mollusca; Gastropoda; Lepetellida; Haliotidae.